RNAcentral lists this long non-coding RNA (258 nucleotides) under Ananas comosus (pineapple). RNAcentral's name for it is "long non-coding RNA (ACOM_LNC026319)". The record is from RNAcentral. Lineage: Eukaryota; Viridiplantae; Streptophyta; Magnoliopsida; Poales; Bromeliaceae.
AAAAAUUCAUAUCCAAAACCAAACCCAUCCAAAAAUUUGAAUCUGAAACAAUCAUUUUUUUUUUACCAUAUUUCCAAAAUUUAUAUUAAAAUUUAAAUUUUCAAAAUACAUAUUCGAAUGGAGUAUAGACAAAAUUUAUUUGCGAAUUCGAAUUUGUUGAGUUUUCAUUUUUUUUAUAUUCGUAUCUAAAACAAUAAUCAUUUAGCAUCAGAUAAACACUCCUUCGAAUUCAGAUUCAGAUAAGAUUAUCUCCAAUGU